AGUGAACGCUGGCGGUAGGCCUAACACAUGCAAGUCGAGCGGCAGCACAGUACUAGCUUGCGCAUUCAGCUGCCGACUGGCGAGCGAUUGCUAGGUACAUGCCUGUCUGCUUUUUAUAACGGGCUAACGUGGGGGCUCAUACGCUAUUCCUGCAUACGACCUACGGGGGAGAUCAUCGGACCUUCCGCUCUCGCACGAUCCAAGGUGGGAUUAGCUAGUUGGUGGGGUAAAGGCCUACCAAGGCGACGAUCCGUAACUGGUCUGAGAGGAUGAUCAGUCACACUGGAACUGAGACACGGUCCAGACUCCUACGGGAGGCAGCAGUGGGGAAUAUUGGACAAUGGGCGAAAGCCUGAUCCAGCCAUGCCGCGUGUGUGAAGAAGGUCUUCGGAUUGUAAAGCACUUUUGGUUGGGAGGAAGAGCAGUAAGUUAAUACCUUGCUGUUUUGACGUUACCAAAAGAAUAAGCACCGGCUAACUUCGUG
Molecule: ribosomal RNA, 484 nt
Filed under: uncultured bacterium
Lineage: Bacteria
Description: partial 16S ribosomal RNA
Rfam family: Bacterial small subunit ribosomal RNA
Source: RNAcentral